This 228-nucleotide long non-coding RNA is filed under the name Elaeis guineensis (African oil palm). Its description in RNAcentral is "long non-coding RNA (EGUI_LNC032392)". Lineage: Eukaryota; Viridiplantae; Streptophyta; Magnoliopsida; Arecales; Arecaceae. The record is from RNAcentral.
GGAUACAAUCCGAAAAUUGCUACAAGCCUAUAAAUAUCAACUUCUAGACUACUCUAACAAGAUAGUUGCCUUCCAGCAGAUGUCCCAAGCUCUCCAAGAGGAAUGGGAGAGAAUCAAAAUAAUUAUGGAAGGCCCUUAGAUUAGAAUAGGGUGUUGUUAGUUGUAUUAGCCUCUUUGCUGAAAUCUAAUGGAAUGUCUUCUUAUAAGAUGAUAUGCAAAUAAUACUAC